Micropterus dolomieu (smallmouth bass) is the source of this 976-nucleotide long non-coding RNA. RefSeq lists it as uncharacterized. The record is from RefSeq and is a predicted model, not a curated record. Lineage: Eukaryota; Metazoa; Chordata; Actinopteri; Centrarchiformes; Centrarchidae. The transcript has 2 exons.
UAAUGUUACUCUAAAAUGACUGGGAAACACGAAGGUAACAUUAACGAAUGUUUGUGUUAAGCUAAGCAGAAACCCUUAUUUUUCUGACGUUCCCUUAAGCACUUCGGGAGUUUCAGUGGCAGGAAAAUGGAAUAAAAGGAUGGAUAUUCUAGGUCAAAAAAGAUGAAACACAAAGAUCAGCAUCCAUUCAACAAUGACAUAAAAAACGGGAAUGCAAAAGAAGCAGCAACAAAAGAAGCAGCAACCAACGAGGCAACUGACUUUAACCAUGGUGAAGUAAAUGCUUCAACUGGAAACCUCUCAAACACUGCCGACACUUGUCCAGGACAAGGCCCUACUCAACUUAUUACUUGUCAAAUGGAACCCAGUAAUGGUAAUGAAGCAAUGCUCACAAGGAUGCUUCAAGCUCCUGCAGUUGAUGCCCCUCAAAACAGAAAACAAAUAAUUCACAAGACUGUAAGCAGUUCACAGGAUGCUGAGCCAGUAAAGCAUAUCCCAAAUCUGGCCUCAGCUGUGAGAGUGACUGAACAACACACAUCUCCUGCACAACCUAAGGACAAAAAGACCUGUACUCCAAAACCAAUGCUCCAACGGGCUACACCUGCAAAACCAAGCACUGGACCAUACUGUGGUGGGAAAGUAACUGCAGGAAAAUUUGAUGCUCUGAGGUCAGACAUCUUACAGCAAUUUCAGGAUGUACCUGAAAAAGUAAGCCAGCAGCAGUCAAGACAUUCAGCACCAGUACAGCAACAGGAAAACAAAAAGGUGAUGUAUGGUCAUACUCAACCUGAGGAAUCUAGAAAUUUAAACCAGUCACAGCAGAGGCUUGCAGUAAAGGAAACCACAGAGGUACCACUACAGACAGUAAGGACUGUUGCACUGUGUGACCCGAGUAUGAGGGCUACUGCAGACUCAGUCCAAGAAGUAAACCGGGCACUCUGCAGCACUACCUCACGUCGGGUAGAAUGCAGGUGAG